UACGUAGGGUACAAGCAUUAAUCGGAAUUAUUGGGCGUAAAGGGCGCGUAGGCGGAAAGGUAAGUCAGAUGUGAAAUACCAAAGCUCAACUUUGGUGCUACAUUUGAAACUCCCUUUCUAGAGGACUGACGGAGAAAGCGGAAUUCCACGAGUAGCGGUGAAAUGCGUAGAUACGUGGAGGAACACCGGUGGCGAAAGCGGCUUUCUAGUUUUUACCU
Molecule: ribosomal RNA, 218 nt
Filed under: uncultured prokaryote
Description: partial 16S ribosomal RNA
Rfam family: Bacterial small subunit ribosomal RNA
Source: RNAcentral